CGCACAUUGCGCCCUCCGGCAUUCCGGGGGGCAUGCCUGUCCGAGCGUCAUGAACGCCCUUCAAGCUCCGGCUUGGUCUUGAGCCUGCGUCCUGGGGACGGGCUUCAAAGUCAGCGGCCGGGCGGCCGAGCUUCAAGCGCAGUCGAAUCGCAUUCGCUUUGGAAGCCUCGGUCGCGCGUGCCUCGUCCGGGAGGGAUGGACACCGUUUCGGCGAUGCCUGUCCCCCACCUUUUGUCUACGAUUGACCUCGGAUCAGGUAAGGAUACCCGCUGAACUUAA
Molecule: unclassified non-coding RNA, 279 nt
Filed under: Stereocaulon sorediiferum
Lineage: Eukaryota; Fungi; Ascomycota; Lecanoromycetes; Lecanorales; Stereocaulaceae
Description: partial contains 5.8S ribosomal RNA, internal transcribed spacer 2, and large subunit ribosomal RNA
Source: RNAcentral